AGCGAACGCUGGCGGCAGGCCUAACACAUGCAAGUCGAACGAACCUUUCGGGGUUAGUGGCGGACGGGUGAGUAACACGUGGGAACGUGCCUUUAGGUUCGGAAUAACUCAGGGAAACUUGUGCUAAUACCGAAUGAGUCCUUCGGGGGAAAGAUUUAUCGCCUUUAGAGCGGCCCGCGUCUGAUUAGCUAGUUGGUUGAGGAAAUGGCUCACCAAGGCGACGUUCAGUAGCUGGUCUGAGAGGAUGAUCAGCCACAUUGGGACUGAGACACGGCCCAAACUCCUACGGGAGGCAGCAGUGGGGAAUACUGCGCAAUGGGCGAAAGCCUGACGCAGCCAUGCCGCGUGAAUGAUGAAGGUCUUAGGAUUGUAAAAUUCUUUCACCGGGGACGAUAAUGACGGUACCCGGAGAAGAAGCCCCGGCUAACUUCGUG
This 434-nucleotide ribosomal RNA is filed under the name uncultured bacterium. RNAcentral's name for it is "partial 16S ribosomal RNA". It matches the Rfam family "Bacterial small subunit ribosomal RNA", at positions 29 to 507 of the family's 1533-position model. The record is from RNAcentral.